RNAcentral lists this long non-coding RNA (7811 nucleotides) under Lactuca sativa (garden lettuce). RNAcentral describes it as "long non-coding RNA (LSAT_LNC004371)". Lineage: Eukaryota; Viridiplantae; Streptophyta; Magnoliopsida; Asterales; Asteraceae. The record is from RNAcentral.
ACAUCGAGAGGGUAAGCGACCACGCUUAGUGAGUUCAAUAAUAGAUACAAUAUAGCGUUAUGCCAUAUAUAUACUCUAAUAGGGCAGAAGCAAAGAGGAACAAGGAACAACAAGGGCAUAUGUGAAUCAUGUGACAAACAUUCCAUAUCAAUCAUUGAUUUGAUUUAAAGAUAUACAAUCAAUGAGACAUAACAAUUUCCAUGCUUGAUAUACAUCAAUAAAGCUUUGGCCCAAACAACACAGAAGAUAUACAACUUUGGAUUAACCUUUCGGUAGAUUUCAGGCUUAUAGCCCUAUCUAACCUUCUGCCACUACCAUAGAAUAGAAUUCAUUCUCUUACGGAGACAUGUUCCACAUGGCCAGAGGCUACAUACCAGUACCAACGUGAAUCUAAGUCCUUUCACUGAUCACAUGGUCAAAGGUAUUUCUUUGCUAUUAAAAAUAGCAAUUAAAAAUAACCCGGGAAAAUAACCCGGAAUAAUAACACUGAAAAGCACGUAGCACAUAUAACACAUAACAUACAAUUAUUUCUAUAUAUUAAACUCACCGUGAAAUAACCGGGGGCUAAAAUAUUAAUUUGGGCAGUACUUCGGCUCUAAAUAUGACUUUCGUCGUUGAAAACCGGGAGUUUUCUUGAAAACCGGGCUCUGCGAAGGUAGAGCUUCGAAACCGAAAAGAUAAAUUUUCGGGGAUUCUCGGGAGUCUCGGGGGGUGUCUCGGGCUUUAGAAUCAGUACCGGGGCUUUGGGGGAUGUCGGGAUCGUAAAAAUAUUGAAAGAGGGGGUGAAAAUGCCAAAUUUCUAAAACUAGCCGAGAGGGCUCGCACCCCUUAUAUAGGGCUGAGCUUCGGAUCCGAAGCGAAGGGAAGGAGACAGGCGGCUGCGAGGUUCGGACCAGAUGGCAGCUUCGCAGGGCUCCAGCGAGGCUCGGAUGCGAGGAGUCAUCAGCUUCAGGCGCGUCAUCGGCUGGGUCUUCGGCUCGGUCUUCAGCUCGGACAGCAGGUGGCUCGCAGGUGGGUUGCGCAUGCGAGGGUGAUCAAUGCGAGGCGCGUCGGAUAGCCAUUGGACCGCACCCUCAGUCGAAUCAGCAUGCGACACGCGAGUAGGGCACGAGGCAGGCAUACGAGAACCACGUGACGACUUCGGACUCCUAUGCGACACGCGUCGCUUCUCGGGCAUUGCCACANCAACACGCAAGGCUGCGGUCCAAUCAGAAGCGAACAUCUGUCCGGCACGUGGAAGCCUCGCAUACGAGGGUGACGUGGCAUUUCACUAUUCAUACGAAUUUUCUCGAAAAAUGUGAAAAAACUUCUAAAAUCCAUAACUUUCGCAUACGAGCUCCGUUUUUGACGUUCUUUAUAUGCACGCAAAGCUAGAAUUAUGCUCUACAACUUUCGUUUAGACUUCGACGGCUAAUUUUGACUUUAAUUUUAAUAUUAUUAUUUUUGACAGACCGGGACAGGAAAAUCCGUUAAAAAUUCAUAACUUCUUCAUUCGACGUCCGUUUUCGUCAGACUUUUUACCGUUGCACUACUAAUGACGAGACCUUCAAUUCUCGUUUAGGUUGUGUCGGCUAAAAAUCACUCGAUCUAAAAUUCGAGUUUUUAGUUGUCUACUGCUAAGCUGAAACUUCGAAAAAUCAUAACUUCCUCAUACGAAGUCAGAUUCAAACGGUCUUUAUAUGAAAGUUGAUUAUUUUCACGAGUUCUACAACUUUCAUUUACAUCACUAAGGCUAAAAAUUAGUUUAUCGAAAACUAAAUUUUUACGCGACAAAGUAUUUUCCGGAUUUAUCACGGAACUUCGUUUGGUCAUAACUUCUUCGUUAUAACUCGGAUUUCGAUGAGGUUUUCGCCUAAAUGUUUCUAACGAGAUUAUCUAUAACUUUCAAUAAUAAAAUUUUACUUAUUCCAGAUUUUAUAUUUUCGCUAUAUUUCACUAUUUGGCUUUUAAUUGGAAUCUCAUAAGACUUCCAAUACUUUCUGAAUGAUUCUAAGCAUAGUUUUACUUCAAUUCUAGUAAAAACUAUCUGUUAGAACUCAACAUUCAAAUUCACAUAAUAUUUCAUAAUAUUAUUUACUUAAAACACGAUUUCAAAACGUGUAUGUUACAAAUACCUCCUCCUUUUGAGGAUUUCGUCCCCGAAAUUACAUCGAUUAAAAUAAAUGGGGAUAUUUUGCUCUUAUCUCAUUCUUAUUUUCCCAAGUAUAAUUUGGGCCUCGAUGGUGUUUCCACUUGACAAGCACCAACUCCACUUCUUUAUUACGUAGAUUAGUUGUUCUUUCAUUCACGAUCUCUUCCGGCUCUUCUACAUAUCUUAACUUAUUAUCCAAUUUCACUUCAGAUAAUGGAACUGUCUCAUCAUUGAUGCUCAAGCAUUUGCGCAGAUAGCUCACAUGAAACACAUCAUGAAUACCUGCCAAAUCUUCAGGUAAUUCUAAGCGGUAUGCUUGCUUUCCAAUUCUCUGGAUGAUUUUGAAAGGACCAACAAAUCUAGGACUUAACUUUCCUUUCUUCCCAAAUCUCAUAAGGCCUUUCCAUGGAGAUACCUUCAGCAUCACGAAAUCACCCACUUGGAAUUCUAUGGGUCGUCUUCUCUUUUCUGUAUAGGACUUCUGUCGAUCCUGGGCCGCUUUCAUUCUUUCUCGUACGAUUUGAAUUUUGUCGGUGGUGUCUUGAAUCAUUUCAGGGCCUCCAAGGAUCUUCUGUCCUAUGUCUCGCCAACAUAAUGGAGUACGACACUUGCGACCAUAUAAUGCUUCGUAUGGUGGCAUUUUGAUUGAAGCGUGGUAACUAUUAUUAUACGAGAAUUCGACAAGAGGUAAGUAUUUAUCCCAGUUACCACCGAACUCCAAGACACAUGCACGAAGCAUAUCUUCUACUGUUUGGAUUGUUCUCUCCGUUUGACCAUCUGUCUGGGGAUGAUAUGCUGUGCUGAGAGCAACUCGAGAUCCUAAUUCACGUUGCAUACUCGCCCAAAAGUGAGAAGUGAAGCGAGUAUCACGAUCGGAGAUGAUCUUUAGUGGCACACCAUGUCUUGCCACAAUUUCAUCCAAGUAUACUUGUGCGUAUUUCUCCAUUGGUGCCGUUUCACGCAUGGCAAGAAAAUGAGCGCUUUUAGUCAGGCGGUCGACGAUUACCCAAAUGCUAUCAUGUUGUCUAGCAGUCUUUGGCAAUUUGGUAAUGAAAUCCAUGGACAAUUCUUCCCAUUUCCAUACAGGAACACUAAGACUUUCUGGGGUUCCAUAAGGCUUUUGGUGCUCUGCUUUGACUUGUAAGCAUACUAAGCAUUCCUGUACAUAUCUUCCAAUGUCUCUCUUUAAUCCAGGCCACCAAUAAUCAGCUCUUACAUCAUAGUACAUUUUACUUGUACCAGGAUGGAUUGACAGUUUAGAUUUAUGGGCUUCAUCUAAAAUCUUCUGUCUCAAUCCACCGAUCUUUGGAAUCCACAGCCGAUUCUUGAAUACUUUUAAUCCUCGCGGAUCAUCAAGUAGAGCAUCAUUAUAAUGUAUCAUCCCUUCUUUCUUCACAUUUUCUGGCUUUAGGGCCUCUUCUUGCCAUUUCUCUAAUUCAUCUAAAAUAGUGAAUUUUACUGUAGUAUGAGUAAUGGCAUAACACAUACUAUUGCGAUAAACUUUUCUGCUAAGUGCAUCAGCAACCACGUUAGCUUUUCCAGGAUGAUAUAGGAUUUCACAAUCAUAAUCUUUGAUCAGCUCCAUGGCUCGUUGUUGUCUCAUAUUCAAAGUUUGCUGACUGAAUAUGUACUUGAGACUUUUGUGGUCGGUAAAUAAUUGGCACUUUGUACCAAAAAGAUAAUGCCUCCAAAGUUUUAGGGCAAAUACCACUGCAGCGAGUUCGAGAUCAUGAGUGGGAUAAUUCUUUUCAUAAUCUUUCAGUUGUCUUGAGGCAUAGGCUAUCACUUUGCCACGUUGCAUCAACACACAACCAAGUCCCAAUCUUGAAGCAUCGCUAUAUACGGAGAAAUCAUCAUCACCUUCUGGGAGUGAUAAGAUUGGAGCAUGAGUCAAAAGAUCUUUUAGAGUUGAGAAAGCUCUUUCUUGGGUUUCACCCCAUUCGAACUUCACUUCUUUCCGUGUAAGACUCGUGAGAGGUACGGCUAUACGAGAAAAGUAUUUAAUGAAUCUCCGGUAAUAUCCCGCGAGACCUAAGAAACUACGAAUUUCGGACGCAUUACGGGGGCACUUCCCAAUUUUGAAUGACAUCGAUUUUGAUAGGAUCUACGGAUACACCAUCAUUAGAAAUAACAUGGCCGAGAAAUUGAACUUGGCGAAGCCAAAAUUCACAUUUCGAGAAUUUAGCAUAUAGUUUCUCCUUUCGAAGAAGUUCCAAUACCGCACGAAUAUGAAUGGCAUGAUCAGCUUCAGACUUGGAAUAGAUUAGAAUAUCAUCAAUGAAUACGAUGACUGAUUUAUCGAGCAUUGGGCGGCAUACCCGAUUCAUCAUAUCCAUGAAUACAGCCGGAGCGUUUGUUAAACCAAACGGCAUAACAAGGAAUUCAUAAUGUCCAUAUCGAGUACGAAAAGCAGUCUUCGGUACAUCUUGCUCGUGAACUUUCAACUGAUGAUAGCCAGAUCUUAAAUCAAUUUUUGAGAAAUAGCUAACACCCUGAAGUUGAUCGAACAAAUCGUCGAUGCGAGGUAGUGGGUACUUGUUCUUGAUAGUCACCUUAUUCAGCUCACGAUAAUCAAUGCACAUCCGCAUCGAUCCAUCUUUCUUCUUGACAAAUAGUACCGGAGCACCCCAGGGAGAGGUACUCGGUCGAAUAAAACCCUUGUCAAGUAGUUCUUGCAGUUGGAUCAUCAUUUCUUUCAUCUCAGCUGGCGCAAGACGAUAAGGAGUCUUUGCAAUUGGAGCAGCACCAGGCACAAGGUCAAUUCGGAAUUCUACUUGCCUAUCCGGAGGAAGGCCAGGCAAGUCGUCAGGGAAAACGUCAGGAUAUUCGUUAACAACGGGAACAUCAUUUACAGUUUUCUUCUCCUCUUUUGAGACAUCAACUGUGUAUGCUAGAUAGAUAGAACAUCCUUUCGAUAUGAAUUUACGAGCUUUAAGGAAAGAGAUUAUUUUUAAGAGUCUUUGUUCACCGUAGACAUAGAUAGGAUUCUCCCCUUCAAUAGGAAUGCGUACUAUCUUUUCAUAGCACAAGAGUUCAGCGUGGUUCUUUGAUAACCAAUCCAUGCCGAGAAUAAUAUCAAAGUUGGGCAAGGAGAUAGGGAUCAGGUUAGCGAGAAAAGUAUAGCCUUCAAUUUCUAUAACACAAUCCCUAUAGACUUUAUCAGCAAGUAAUGAUAUACUUCCCGCAGUAUCUACGUGAAAUGGUUGCGCGAGUACAAAGCAAGCAAUUUGAAAGGAAUGCGCAAAUUCGUAAGACACAAAAGAAUCUGAGGCACCAGAAUCAAAUAAGAUGUGAGCAGGUCUAGAGUUGACAAGAAAUGUACCCGUCACAACAUUCGGGUCCUCGCGUGCCUCCUCUGAGGUAAUCUGGAAUGCACGACCCCUAGCUUUCGGCACCUCCUCCUUUUUAGUUGGAGUACCCUUUGAUUGUUGAACAGGGACUUGGCUUCUCGCCGGUUGUUGAACAGAAGCUUGACUUCCCGUCAUCUGACUAGUAAGAGUAGGGCAAAAACGCUUCUUGUGGCCAGUAAUACCACAUGCAUAGCAAGUAACAUCCUUUCUUGGGCAAGCUGGCUUUAUAUGACCCUUUUCUCCGCAUCCAUAACAGACAAUGGAUUCCUUGUCUAUUUUGCAUUGGCCCGGAUGAUUCCUUCCACAAAUACGACAUGAAGGCGAUUGCAUAGAAAAAGAUUGUGAUCUACCGCGUCCACGAGAGGCACUUUGAGUUUGAACUUGAUUACCAGGAUCAGUCCGAACGGAUUGAGCUGGUAGAAAAGAAGGAACAGUUCUUUCAGUACGUGGUUGCUUCGGAGCAGUAAUAGUGGCACCACGUAUUUCUAAGUCAUGCUCACGUCUUCGAGCAUAUUCAACGGCUUUAUCGAAUGACAGAACUUCUCGAUUGGCAACGAAAUCGUGGAUCUCAUGUCGUAGUCCCUCCAUGAAUAACUGAAUUUUCUCGUCUUCAGUUGGAAUAUACUUUGUAGCAAACCUUGCUCUUUGAUUAAACUGAGUUUCAUACUCAUUCACAGUCAUUCCUCCUUGUUUAAGCUCGAGGAAUUCCUUCUCCAAUCUCCUCCUCAUGUCUAGAGGACAAUACUUCUCUAGCAAACGAGUUUUAAACAUUUCCCAGGCUAAAUUCUCCUGGUCAAACCCGUUGAGAGCUUCAUAUGUUGCUUCCCACCAGACCAAGGCUUCUCCGAUGAGCAUUGCGGAAGCAUAGUUAGCCUUGUCUUCAUUAUCCACAUGAGAAAUACGAAACACUUUCUCUGUGUUCUGGAUCCAAGUAAGAACAAUAAUGGGAUUGAGAACACCGGAAAACUCUGUAGCACCACUACUCUUGAAAUCUUUGAACGAGGGACGCUUCACCUCUCCUUUUGAAGAUUCUCCAGUGGCUUUCUCUUUUCCCUUAUCACCAUUCUUUUUGUGUUCUUCGAGAGUCUGUCGAAUAACACCGGUAAGUUUACCCAAGAGUCGCUCCUCACGAGGAGAUACUGGAGUAUUCACUUCCUCGGGUUGAGGACCUCCACCAACCUCAGGGGUAUGGCUACUAACCUGUUCAGCCAUUGCUCUGCAAUACGGAGUAACAUUGUAUUUUAGAAUAUUAGGGUUUAUUAUUACCUAAUACUUUUACUUAUAUAUUUCCUAUGGUUUGUAUCCCUAUACUUAUAAUGAUUUAGUUCAUAUAUUGAACUUCCAAUAGUUUAAGUCUAAAUACCAAUCCGUGGAAUUUAGUUCACUCAAACUACUGCUCUGAUACCAUGAUUGAAAGACCCUAACUUUCGUAUUUAUGAAAGACCCAAACUUUCAUACUCGACAAUAUAGUUACUCCAAAACAUGCUACUUGCAUAUUCAUAAAAACAAUAUUUUACAUUGAUAAAGAGAUUACAAACUACUGGAUACAAACCGACUAUUUUAAAGUGUUAUAUAUUACAUAACUUCCCAGGAUUCUAUAGUUUUAUACAUAUGGGAGUGCAAAAUACAAUAGUUUCAAACUAUUCAUAAGCUUCCAUCGAUACAAUAGUUUCAAACUAUUCAAAAAUCUUCUACCAGUAUAUAACUAUACUGGAUGUUUAUCUCCUGCAAUUUGUUAAACAUCGAGAGGGUAAGCGGACACGCUUAGUGAGUUCAAUAAUAGAUACAAUAUAACGUUAUGCCAUAUAUAUACUUUAAUAGGGCAGAAGCAAAGAGGAACAAGGAACAACAAGGGCAUAUGUGAAUCAUGUGACAAACAUUCCAUAUCAAUCAUUGAUUUGAUUUAAAGAUAUACAAUCAAUGAGACAUAACAAUUUCCGUGCUUGAUAUACAUCAAUAAAGCUUUGGCCCAAACGGCACAGAAGAUAUACAACUUCGGAUUAACAUUUCGGUAGAUUUCAGGCUUAUAGCCCUAUCUAACCUUCUGCCACUACCAUAGAAUAGAAUUCAUUCUCUUACGGAGACAUGUUCCACAUGGCCAGAGGCUACAUACCAGUACCAACGUGAAUCUAAGUCCUUUCACUGAUCACAUGGUCAAAGGUAUUUCUUUGCUAUUAAAAAUAGCAAUUAAAAAUAACCCGGAAUAAUAACACUGAAAAGCACGUAGCACAUAUAACACAUAACAUACAAUUAUUUCUAUAUAUUAAACUCACCGUGAAAUAACCGGGGGCUAAAAUAUUAUUUUGGGCAGUACUUCGGCUCUAAAUAUG